This is a long non-coding RNA of Myotis brandtii (Brandt's bat), 1430 nucleotides long. RefSeq lists it as uncharacterized. The record is from RefSeq and is a predicted model, not a curated record. The transcript is spliced from 2 exons. Lineage: Eukaryota; Metazoa; Chordata; Mammalia; Chiroptera; Vespertilionidae.
AUCCAUCAUAAUUCUGGGUAUCAUCUUAGAAAUGUGUGUCACAGAAAUAAUUAUCUUAUCAAUUGAAUUAUAAUGAACUCACAUCAGAUCUUGAAACAUGGCCAUUUUUGUCAUUUACAGACAGUUACUGUUUUACUUUGAUGCUUUUGCAAAAGUGUUCCUGCAAAAGUGCUACGUUUUCAAGGAGACUCUAACAAGUACAGGUUUCUCAUAACCUUCAGAUCAUACCACUGAACUGGGUAAGAAUCUGCAGACCUCUGGUGGAGAACCCGAUGGCUUCCUAAAACUGCUAACCAAAAAGCAAGAUCAACAAGAAUUAAUUACAUGGGACUCAAUGAGUUAAUGAAGAUGAUUAUAACAUUGUUGGUUCUUUUGUUUUCCCCCCAGAUUUAAGGAAACCUUCUUCUUUUAAGCUAUCAAUAAAUUGGUAAAAAAAUAUCUUUGUAAACAAAGAUUAACAUAUGCAACUAAAUUUGUUUUUCUAAUCUAUCUAAUGUAAAUUUAAUUAUGUACUAGACCAAAUUUUUCUCCAGAUUCUUACCCAGUUCAAUGUUAUGACAUGAAGGUUGUCAGAAACCUGUACUUGUUAGUCUCCUUGAAAAUGUAGUGCUCCCUACCUGAGCCCUCCAGAAUUCAGAAACUCUUAGUGAAUAUUCUUACAAUAUAGUUAUUUGCAUAAGUUCAACAAGAUUCUUUUCUCCUUGUAACAGAUACAGUUAGAAACACUGAUUAUACUCUGAAGGUUUGAACUGGAAUAUAUAUUUGAGAAUGCACAUAGAAGGAACUAAGGUUCACUUUAUGGAGCCAAUGAAACACCUUGGAAAACCAGCCUGGUACCUGCUUACAGGGUUCCCAGCCAGCAGCUUUGCCAGAAAUGUAUCUGAUUGCCUACACAAUAUAGGCCUAACUUUAGGAGCAAACCUGUAUCACCGCCUCCUGCAACCAGAGACACUGUUUAAACAGACCUAUUCUCAGCACUAACAGGCUGCUUCAGUGAGCUGGAACCAUCUACCCACUCAACUUUUGGACUAUGAAACUUCUUGGGGACGUUUCAAAGGUGGGGACUGAAAGGAACAGAAUGUGCCACUUUGGCAGGUGCAUCAUUUUGAGCUGAAGGGAAUCAAGACCCAGCAGACUAAGGAGUUAUUACUGCUCCCUUAUCUGUCUAGAAGAAUUUAGACAGUAGGCCUGAGCUAGAAAGAGAGCUAUUACCAGAGGUAACUUUUUUUUUCUUUAAGUCUUAUCUGCAAGGCAGGGCAAACAUUGAUUAUCACACAUAAUGCUUUUCUCACCUUCCUUCCCUUUUAAAUCCCUGGCCCCUAUCCAGUUCCUGAGCUCAGGAUAGUAUAUAAGCCUCAAUUGUCUGUCUUUGAGUCUCUUAUUUUUAUGGGGCUCCCAUAACAUGUGCAAUUAAAUUUGUUUUUCUGUUA